Molecule: long non-coding RNA, 572 nt
Filed under: Medicago truncatula (barrel medic)
Lineage: Eukaryota; Viridiplantae; Streptophyta; Magnoliopsida; Fabales; Fabaceae
Description: long non-coding RNA (MTRU_LNC003072)
Source: RNAcentral
UGCAACACAAGUAUAAUAAUGAAGUACUUAUCAAAUAGAAAAAAUAACCCAAAGAGAAAUGUAAAUGUAAUAAAAAAACAUUUUAUCAAAAUAAAAGCUUGAUAUAUUAAUGAUCUGGAAAAUCAUCCCAUAACAAUGAAGAAAUUUGUCACACAUUUCCGAAAAGCAUCAUACUUCUCACUAAUUUGCCUCACAAUUCCAAAAACAUCAUAAUUUCCGAAAAGCGCCAACUUGCAACAAAGGUUCUUCCAUUCAUACUGCAUGAUAGGUGAUUAAACUAUAUAAUUAUAAGCACGAAGAUCUACGGACCCACAAAUAAUUUUCAUAAGGAUUUAGAUUUGAAUCUUAAAAAGAUCUAACCUUAAUAUUAGAGACAAAUUAUAGAUGAAGAAAGGACAAUAAAAAAAAUGGUAUACAUACCUUACCUUUAGCGUCAAAAGAAAUUGGAAAAAGAGUGAAAAAUUUAUGAUUUUUUUUAUCAACGAAGAUAGAGAUAGUGAUGAUGAAAGUGGCUCGAGUUUUAGACACACACACACACACAGAGAGAGAGAGAGAGAGAGAGAAAGAGAGAG